GAUGAAGAACGUAGCGAAAUGCGAUACUUGGUGUGAAUUGCAGAAUCCCGUGAACCAUCGAGUCUUUGAACGCAAGUUGCGCCCGAAGCCAUCAGGUUGAGGGCACGUCUGCCUGGGCGUCACAUAUCGUUGCCCAAUGCCUAUUGCAGUGCAAUAGGAAUUUCUAGGGCGAAUGAUGGCUUCCCGUGAGCGUUGUUGCCUCGCGGUUGGUUGAAAAUCGAGUCCUUGGUAGGGUGUGCCAUGGUAGAUGGUGGUCGAGUUAGAACGAUACCGAUCAUGUGCAUGCUCCCCAAAAUAUGGCCUCUAUGACCCACACGCGUCGUUUGACGCUCAUGACGAGACCUCAGGUCAGGCGGGGCUACCCGCUGAAUUUAAGCAUAUCAAUAAGCGGAGGA
This 395-nucleotide unclassified non-coding RNA is filed under the name soil metagenome. RNAcentral describes it as "partial contains 5.8S ribosomal RNA, internal transcribed spacer 2, and large subunit ribosomal RNA". The stretch from base 1 to 122 matches the Rfam family "5.8S ribosomal RNA", at positions 35 to 154 of the family's 154-position model. The record is from RNAcentral.